GAUGAACGCUGGCGGCGUGCCUAAUACAUGCAUGUCGAGCGAACGGACGAGAAGCUUGCUUCUCUGAUGUUAGCGGCGGACGGGUGAGUAACACGUGGAUAACCUACCUAUAAGACUGGGAUAACUUCGGGAAACCGUAGCUAAUACCGGAUAAUAUUUUGAACCGCAUGGUUCAAAAGUUAAAGACGGUCUUGCUGUCACUUAUAGAUGGAUCCGCGCUGCAUUAGCUAGUUGGUAAGGUAACGGCUUACCAAGGCAACGAUGCAUAGCCGACCUGAGAGGGUGAUCGGCCACACUGGAACUGAGACACGGUCCAGACUCCUACGGGAGGCAGCAGUAGGGAAUCUUCCGCAAUGGGCGAAAGCCUGACGGAGCAACGCCGCGUGAGUGAUGAAGGUCUUCGGAUCGUAAAACUCUGUUAUUAGGGAAGAACAUAUGUGUAAGUAACUGUGCACAUCUUGACGGUACCUAAUCAGAAAGCCACGGCUAACUACGUG
This 497-nucleotide ribosomal RNA is filed under the name uncultured bacterium. RNAcentral describes it as "partial 16S ribosomal RNA". It matches the Rfam family "Bacterial small subunit ribosomal RNA", at positions 28 to 507 of the family's 1533-position model. The record is from RNAcentral.